This 164-nucleotide ribosomal RNA is filed under the name uncultured bacterium. Its description in RNAcentral is "partial 16S ribosomal RNA". It matches the Rfam family "Bacterial small subunit ribosomal RNA", at positions 1329 to 1500 of the family's 1533-position model. The record is from RNAcentral.
GAUUCGCUAGUAAUCGCGCAUCAGCCAUGGCGCGGUGAAUACGUUCCCGGGCCUUGUACACACCGCCCGUCAAGCCAUGGGAGCCGGGGGCGCCUGAAGUCCGGGACCGCGAGGACCGGCCUAGGGCGAAACUGGUAACUGGGGCUAAGUCGUAACAAGGUACC